UGGGGAAUUUUGGACAAUGGGCGCAAGCCUGAUCCAGCCAUUCCGCGUGAGUGAAGAAGGCCUUCAGGUUGUAAAGCUCUUUCGCAAGGGAAGAAAACUUAGGCUCUAACAUAGCCUGAGGUUGACGGUACCCUGAUAAGAAGCACCGGCUAACUACGUGCCAGCAGCCGCGGUAAUACGUAGGGUGCGAGCGUUAAUCGGAAUUACUGGGCGUAAAGCGUGCGCAGGCGGUUUUGUAAGUCAGAUGUGAAAUCCCCGAGCUCAACUUGGGAACUGCGUUUGAAACUACAAGGCUAGAAUAUGUCAGAGGGGGGUAGAAUUCCACGUGUAGCAGUGAAAUGCGUAGAGAUGUGGAGGAAUACCAAUGGCGAAGGCAGCCCCCUGGGAUAAUAUUGACGCUCAUGCACGAAAGCGUGGGGAGCAAACAG
RNAcentral lists this ribosomal RNA (428 nucleotides) under uncultured bacterium. Its description in RNAcentral is "bacterial SSU rRNA". It matches the Rfam family "Bacterial small subunit ribosomal RNA", at positions 355 to 775 of the family's 1533-position model. The record is from RNAcentral.